GUGUCAGCCGCCGCGGUAAAACGUAGGAGGCAAGCGUUAUCCGGAGUUACUGGGCGUAAAGCGUAUGUAGGCGGUUGGGCAAGUGGCGUGUGAAAGCUCCCGGCUAAACUGGGAGACGACAGGUCAGACUGCCGAACUCGAGUCCGAUAGAGGGGCGUAGAAUUCCGGGUGUAGCGGUGAAAUGUGUAGAGAUCCGGAGGAAUACCAGUGGCGCAAGCGGCGCCCUGGGUCGGAACUGACGCUGAGAUACGAAAGCGUGGGGAGCGAACGGGAUUAGAAACCCCAGUAGUCC
This 292-nucleotide ribosomal RNA is filed under the name uncultured bacterium. RNAcentral describes it as "partial 16S ribosomal RNA". It matches the Rfam family "Bacterial small subunit ribosomal RNA", at positions 505 to 796 of the family's 1533-position model. The record is from RNAcentral.